GUGUUUAAUUGGUAUUGUUUGUUAAACUGAGAUAUGAAUUGAGUUUGGAUUGAGGCUGUGAAUGUUGAUGGAAUUUCUAGUCAUGUUAAUUUCUUAGUUUGAUUGAUGAUUUGAGAUUUGUUUGAUAAUAGUAAGUACUGUUGCAAUGAUUUGGGAAUUGUUAAGAAAAUGAAGGAGCCCGUAAGGGUGGUAAAUUCGAAUGUUAAGGGAGGUCCUGUCCAAGUUUUUAUAAAGAUAUACAAAAAGGUGAUUUUGAUUUGAAAAUCUAACUUAUAAGCUUAUUUUGA
This is a non-coding RNA of Arachis ipaensis, 287 nucleotides long. The record is from RefSeq and is a predicted model, not a curated record. Lineage: Eukaryota; Viridiplantae; Streptophyta; Magnoliopsida; Fabales; Fabaceae.